This 156-nucleotide ribosomal RNA is filed under the name Hoylesella oralis ATCC 33269. RNAcentral describes it as "Prevotella oralis ATCC 33269 non-coding RNA". It matches the Rfam family "Bacterial large subunit ribosomal RNA", at positions 13 to 171 of the family's 2925-position model. Lineage: Bacteria; Pseudomonadati; Bacteroidota; Bacteroidia; Bacteroidales; Prevotellaceae. The record is from RNAcentral.
AAGGGCGUAUGGCGGAUGCCUAUGCUCACGGAGGCGAUGAAGGACGUGAUAAGCUGCGAUAAGCCGCGGGUAGAUGCAAAUGCUCUUUGAUCCGCGGAUUUCCGAAUGGGACAACCCGGCCGUCGGAAGGACGGUCAUCGUUAUGUUUUAUUAACG